Molecule: long non-coding RNA, 146 nt
Organism: Leopardus geoffroyi (Geoffroy's cat)
Lineage: Eukaryota; Metazoa; Chordata; Mammalia; Carnivora; Felidae
Exons: 3
Source: RefSeq, a predicted model, not a curated record
ACUAAAUUUGAAAUUUAAGAUUUUCCUCUCUAUAAUCAGAGGAUUAAUUCUUCCCUCCUGAUAAUAACACCCAGGCCAGAGAGGGCAUUACUGCAAAGUGUGAAUUUAUGGUAUACUUCAGCAGAUCGGUUGAGCAAACGUCUGAA